UACGUAGGUGGCGAGCGUUAUCCGGAAUGAUUGGGCGUAAAGGGUGCGUAGGCGGAUUGAUAAGUUAGAGGUGAAAUGUCCGAGCUCAACUCGGGAACUGCCUCUAAUACUGUUGAUCUAGAGAGUAGAUGCGGUAGGCGGAAUGUAUGGUGUAGCGGUGAAAUGCUUAGAGAUCAUACAGAACACCGAUUGCGAAGGCAGCAUACCGGCGCCCUACUGACGCUGAGGCACGAAAGUGCGGGUAUCGAACAGG
RNAcentral lists this ribosomal RNA (253 nucleotides) under uncultured bacterium. RNAcentral describes it as "partial 16S ribosomal RNA". It matches the Rfam family "Bacterial small subunit ribosomal RNA", at positions 524 to 776 of the family's 1533-position model. The record is from RNAcentral.